GGCUGGAGAUAACAACACGGACUGUUCGGGUCCGGACUCGGAUUGUCUGAGUGUUGAUGUGAUCCUGUUCAUCAUGUUCUUAGGGGCCGUUACUCUGGGCAUGUUCCUCUCCUGGGUCAUUCUGUGGAUCAUCAUGAGGGUCAGCAGGAAGAAGUGAGUAAGAGGUGGUCAGUAAAGGGAGGAAGACAUUGAGAGAGUGGAUCAUCAUGAGGCACCGAGAAUGUGGAGAGCUCAGUGUGAGAGAGCUCAGUAUACCACAACAUCAGAAGUGACUUGAAACUAGAGCUCAGUAGAGUUCUGACAAGGCCGACUCAGCAGGCCACAAACACACUAAACGACUAUUCGGUGAGCCUGCCAACUACAUUGUAUUUAUACAUUAUACAACUACAUUGUAUUUAUACAUUAUACAACCCAUUUUUCCGGCCAUAAGAAUGAAUAUCAGACACUGAAAGUGUCAUAACUCAUAAGGGGUCGUUCACAUAUUACGUAAUCACUUUUUGGUCAAUUUUUACCCCCCCCCGGCCCCCCUCGACUCCGUAAUCAGUUUUACACAUAAAUAUUGUAUCAAAAUAUACUAGCGUAAUCAUUUGGAAACCCCCCUCCCCCCUCGGCUGAUCACGUGAUAUGUGAACGACCCCUAAGACAGCAGUUGCUUUUACUUUUUUAAAUUCGAUGAGUAUCGAAUAUCGAUGACUGUUAACUUAGUCGAUCACUAACCAGUGCUCGAAUGUAUUUGAUUUAAGUUAUCCAAAAUUAUUGAAUGAUCGUCUUUUAUUUAAAUAUUCGUUGUUA
Bolinopsis microptera is the source of this 792-nucleotide long non-coding RNA. RefSeq lists it as uncharacterized. Lineage: Eukaryota; Metazoa; Ctenophora; Tentaculata; Lobata; Bolinopsidae. The transcript has 2 exons. The record is from RefSeq and is a predicted model, not a curated record.